Molecule: non-coding RNA, 87 nt
Organism: Emericellopsis atlantica
Lineage: Eukaryota; Fungi; Ascomycota; Sordariomycetes; Hypocreales; Bionectriaceae
Source: the annotation of a RefSeq genome assembly
CUCGGGAUCGUCUAGUUGGUUUAUGACGUCAGAUUGUAAUUGCAGCCAGCCAUCUGGAUGUCGGGAGUUCGAAUCUCCCUCCUGAGA